Long non-coding RNA from Parus major (Great Tit), 1333 nucleotides. RefSeq lists it as uncharacterized. The transcript has 2 exons. NCBI's taxonomy places the organism in Eukaryota, Metazoa, Chordata, Aves, Passeriformes, Paridae. The record is from RefSeq and is a predicted model, not a curated record.
UUUGGGUCUCUGUUCUGGGCAGUCCAUGAGAGUUUGGACCUUUGAUAAGGGCGAUAGCACAGAUUAGCACAGCCUUGUACAAAUAGAUAAAGGAUGGAACUUAGGCAAACAGAAACCAUGCCAAAUGCAAGCUGCACACAAUCUCAGCUCUGCAAGGCUGACAAGGCAGAAAUUAGGCAAAACAGUAAUAUUGUGUAUACUCAGAAGUGGGGGUCAAGGAACAGGUCAAGGAACAGCACCUAAAAAGAACACCAGAUGUUGAAGUCAGAGCCCAAAGAACCAUACAAAGACUUCCAGGUUUGGCUGUGACCAUAUCAAAGAAAGUUAAGGAAGUGGGGAUAGCUGAUGAAUACGUAAUCAGUGUGUGUGAUAAAAUCUCUGUUCCCCCAACACUCGUGGCACUCGAUUGGAGGAAUGAUCCUCCGAGUGCCCAGUGCUGCAAUAAAGAAUGGCUGCUUUCUAGUCCUCAAAUUGUGUUAUAAAGUUUCUGGCUGGCCAAUUUCAGCAUCAUUUUUGUCAGAUCCAGAUGUGACACUCUGCCUGAUCUCCCGUGGAUCUGACGGGUCUCUGGAUCUUUAUGUCAGGACAGUGACUUUCCUGGAGAAGACCACAGACCCUCAGAUCAGUCUGGGACACAGUAAGACUUUACAGGAUUUCCAGUGAGCAGUGGAGAUCUCCAGACCGAUGGGAUUGGACACACCAGGGCACAAGUUUCAGCCAGGAGACUGGGUCUGCUUGAAAGAGACUGGGAAACUGCUCUGCUCCAGCAAAAGUGGAAGGGAUCUCUCCAAGUGCCACUGACAACUUUUUGCAAUGCACAGCUCUAGAAGAAAUCUGGACCAAAAUUAACUCCUGGUUACCCAGUUGGACUUGGUGAAAACACGUGUUUGUAAUGGUUACCACAAUAAUUGUUGUAUGGUUUUAAUUUGCAUCAUGAUUCAAUUUUGCAGCUGUUUUAGUGCCUUAUGCUAUAAAUGAAAUAGAGGUAUUGACAGACCAGUGCCCAAAGGAACUGAGUCUUAAACAACGGGGGAGCAUGAUAAGGACAGUAGAAGGGAACAGCAAAGAUACUGUACUUUAAAGGGACUAGAGGAACAGCUACCUAAAAAAGACACUGGACAUUGAAGAGAGACCCCAAAGAACCAUAUAGGACUUCAAAUAAGGGGUGUGACUAUGUCAGAGAAAGUCAAGUAAGUGGGGAUAGCUGAUGAAUAUGUAAUCCGGGUGUCUGACAAAAUCUCUGUUCACCCAGCACUUGUAGCACUUGAGUGGAGGAAGGAUCCCCUGAGUGCCCAGUGCUGCAAUAAAGAAUGGCUGCUUUCUAGUACUCAAA